UGCCAAGAGCUUUGGGGAGUAAUUUAUAUUAGUUCUUCUGUAUCCAUUUAUUUAGAUUUUGCUUCUGAAGAAAUCAGCAAGACAAAAUAAUGUGUUUCUUCAUGAAAGCAGAAAACAGUGAAUUUUCAUCAUUAAAAAUGCCUCUACAAUCUACUUUUCCUUUUGGGGUAAAAAUUAUAUCUUUAUGAACUUUGCUUGUUUCUUUCCCUGUUUGGUCAUAUUUUAUUUGUUUGAUAAAUUUGAUAAACUGCAGCAUUCCACAAGAUACUAAAUCAGGCUUAGAUUUUUAAUUAUUGACCCCAUUUUAACUACUGUUUUAUUUUCCAUGUGUGGGCAAAAAAUAGUGGUGUUCCAAAUUGCCAUAACAACAGGCUGCACUCCUUAAAACAAGAUAAGCUGUGUGUCAAAGUAAAACUGUUGCCAUGGUAACCAGUUGAAUAUUUAAAGUGCAGCAUCCUGGUUUAAUCAGUCAAAUUGCUUCUUUUCCAGAAAUCAACUACAUCGGCACUCUUACAGCAGAAACAGUGAAAAAAGGAAAAACAUAGAAGCUAAUAAAAAAUAAUUUCUGUCCUGUAUGUUCCCUUUCUGAUUUUGUUUCAGAAGAGUCACUUAAACUGCUUCUUUCUAACAAGAGUGCAAAUAGUGGAUCCUGUCUUUUAUCCUAGAAUUCUCAGAAAUUCAUCUCAUCUGUUCAAGAUAUACAUUCCCUUAACAGAUGCAGUGCACACCCAGAGGAGGACCCGACUGCAGAGAGAUCGCUGCCACGUGCCGGAUCUACAGAUGCAUUGGGAACGCCUGCCUGUGUAAACACAGAUGCUAUUUUGCAAAAGUUUCUAGAUAGCAGCUGAAUGAUGACUCAGACAUUUUUUGUCACUGCAGAGCUGCACAUGGUCUUGUGUACAGCAUCGUGAAAGACAUUAGAGCAAACGUACCAAUGAAGAGCUCUUUACUCUGGAAUUUUUGUGCACCCCACAUUUUUGCAAUAAUGCUCUCUGCAAUAAGCCAUAAUGUUCUGUGACACGACAUGCAUAGCAAUAAAAAGAGAUAACUGGCAUCCUUAUGUUUAAGU
RNAcentral lists this long non-coding RNA (1069 nucleotides) under Cyanistes caeruleus (blue tit). RNAcentral describes it as "lncRNA (ENSCCEG00000013165.1)". Lineage: Eukaryota; Metazoa; Chordata; Aves; Passeriformes; Paridae. The record is from RNAcentral.